GUACAAAUUGCAAACUAUUUACAUGAAAACUCGAGCCCCUUGAAGAUGCGAUCCGGAGGAGCAGCGAAAAAAAAAAAAAAAAAGGUUCCGCGCAGCACAGAAUCCACCAAAUAUUAGGUUUUAAAAAAAAUUUGAACGACUCCAUAUCUAAGUUAAGACAGGUCAAGCACCACCCUCCCCUUAAGAUCCCCCCUUUCCAUUUCCUUGAAUACGUCCGUUAGUGCAUCCAUUUUCUCCGUUCGGAAAUGCACUUGGAUAAUCCCCCGCGCCCCGAAUUCCAUAGUCUCAAUUGACUCCCGCUUAGUUCCCACUGCAGACCCUACGAUGGAAAGCUGUUUCCCGAUAAGGUGCGCAGGGAACGACGAC
This 366-nucleotide small RNA is filed under the name Histoplasma capsulatum var. duboisii H88. Its description in RNAcentral is "Histoplasma capsulatum H88 hypothetical RNA". Lineage: Eukaryota; Fungi; Ascomycota; Eurotiomycetes; Onygenales; Ajellomycetaceae. The record is from RNAcentral.